This 75-nucleotide transfer RNA is filed under the name Trueperaceae bacterium. Its description in RNAcentral is "tRNA-Val". It matches the Rfam family "tRNA". From Rfam's summary of the family: Transfer RNA (tRNA) molecules are approximately 80 nucleotides in length. Lineage: Bacteria; Thermotogati; Deinococcota; Deinococci; Trueperales; Trueperaceae. The record is from RNAcentral.
GGGCGGUUAGCUCAGCGGAAGAGCACUCGCUUCACACGCGAGGGGUCGUUGGUUCAAAUCCAAUACCGCCCACCA